UCGCCUGCUGUACCCGGUAGUCGUCCAGGAGCCGUUCUUCAUCAAGAAAGAAACGCACUUCAGUUUUAUGGCUGGAUUUCUUGAUGCACUGAGGCCAGCACCGUUUGCUAGUGUGCACUUCAAGAGGUCGCAGGUGAAAGCCACACUGUGGCUUACUGCCAUGAAGGUGUUCUGGGUGUCCAAUGGCAAGCUGGAAGGGGUUCUCACUCCUAAAAAGGAGAAAGAAUAUUCGGAAGCCAACACAAUCUUCUUGGGCACUGUGAUUGGUGCACUUGCACAACAUCUGCUGGAUGUGUACCUUCAUCACACGGUCGCAAAAGGAGUUGUGGGACGAUCUGACUGCUAACUACGAUGGCUCAGAUACUGGCACUGAACUGUACAUCAUUGAGCAGUAUCAUGACUACAAGAUGGUUGACGGAAAAUCUAUAGUCGCUCAGGCUCAUGAAUUACAGUGCAUGGUGAAGGAACUCGAUCUGCUAAAGAUUGUCGUGUCCGACAAGUUUGUGGCUGGGGGCAUUAUUGCCAAGUUACCUCCAUCCUAGAGGGACUUGGCCACUUCACUCAAACACAAGAGGACAGAAAUUUCUGUUUUAGACUUGAUUGCAUCUCUUGAUGUUGAGGAGAAAGCUCGAGCUAAAGAUGGACGAUCUAAAGCUGUUGAGGGUCAGACCAGUGCCAAUAUGGUGCACCAAUCACAUCACAAUGGCAAUGGUGGCAAGGGCAAGGGCAAGAACAAUAAGCCUAAGCAGUCCACUACCUUCAAGAAGAAUAAGAACAAGGAGAACGAGGGAUGCUUCAUGUGCGGUUCUACUGACCAUUGGGCAAAGAAGUGCCCAAACCGGAAAGGAAGAAAACCUCCACAACAGAAGUCUUUGAGCAUGGACCAGCACUGGAGACAAAAAUAGUGGGUCGCUCGGGAUUCCUCCGUCCUAACGGGGAAUGGGUCACAUGCUUCUGUUCAUGGUGUUGGUACGGUAGAUCUGAAGUUUACUUCAGGAAAGAUCAUGUAGCUGAAGAACGUGCAGCAUGUCCCUUCUAUCAAGAAGAAUCUAGUUAGUGGCUCCCUUUUGUGUAGGGAUGGUUUUAAGGUAGUGCUUGAGUCUAAUAAAAUUGUUGUGUCUAAGAGUGGAUAAUUUAUUGGUAAAGGCUAUGAGUGCGGAGGCUUGUUCCGCUUUUCCCUUUCAGAUUAUUGCAAUAAGUCUGUGAACUAUA
Molecule: long non-coding RNA, 1212 nt
Organism: Setaria italica (foxtail millet)
Lineage: Eukaryota; Viridiplantae; Streptophyta; Magnoliopsida; Poales; Poaceae
Exons: 3
Source: RefSeq, a predicted model, not a curated record